Non-coding RNA from Physcomitrium patens, 2922 nucleotides. Lineage: Eukaryota; Viridiplantae; Streptophyta; Bryopsida; Funariales; Funariaceae. The record is from RefSeq and is a predicted model, not a curated record.
AAGGGGGUGGGGGAUAGAGUAGCCCAGAGUGAGAGUUCGAUGCGUGAGUAGCCGCCACUUUGCCUGGGAGAAUUGCGGUCUCGAUUGGCCUUCUUCUGCCGUGCACUGAGUUUGCAAGGAUGGGGUUGUAGGCCAACUCUUGCUUCUGGCAAGCGUUUUGGUGCUGGGUUUUGGCGAUUAGGGUUUGCGAUGUUAGGGUUUGGAGCGGUGGGCAGAGGUAUGUGUGGGGAGAAUGGACAGGGAAUGGUUUUGUAGUGUGUGUGGCAUGGGAGUGCGAGGGAGCGCGAUGUUGGAUGAUGCCGCGGGAGCUUUGAGUUGAGGAAGGGCGAGGUAUUAUGUAUUUACUGGUGAAGUAGUUGGUAUACAUUGGGAGGGAGCUGAGGUUGUCAGGCUCCUGUGUAUGGGUCUGAGCGCGCCAGAAGUGAUGGCGGAUUUGGAGGAUGUGAAGAAGGGGGUGCCAGAGGAGGAGAGCAGCGCCCCGGAGUCGUGGGAGAUGGUGGACUUGGAGGAGAACAUGAAGAAGUUGCUGGCGUCUUCUGAAAUUGCGUCCUCUCAAGUUUCCGUGGAACCUUGUAUUACCAAUGAUGGCAAUGGUGUGACCACCGGAUUGUUGCCUUUCCGCACUGAUGCAGCGGACGCUGCCAGAGGCCCCGAUCAAGUGGACGGUUUCCUUAAGGAAGCACUGCAGAAUCCUCGGGAUCGUCUUACAAUUUUGAGGCUGGAGCAAGAGGUUGAGCGCUUCAUUCGUAAUCCCAGCUUGCAGGUACUCGAGUUUCAGCCUAUGCCAUCGUCGUAUCUUCGACUGGCUGCACAUCGCGUGGCUCAACACUAUUAUCUCCAGUCCAUGGUUGUUGAUGGAGGUUCCGCAGAGGGGAUGCGCAUUGUCGCUCGGAAGACGAGUGAAACUCGUUUUCCGAGUCUCCGACUUGUGGACAUACCUGUUGUACCUCAAGCUGGUGAUCAAGAGGAGAAGGCCGCGAUGUUACCUGUGCUACCUACAAAGGUCGCCAUCAAGCAGAGACCGGCGAAGGGAAGCCGCAGUAAUGGUCUCGGAAUAGGUGGAAAUGGCGGCAGGUUAAAUCCGUCCAAGAGCGUCGAAGAAAGAAAGGAAGAGUACAAUAAGGCACGUGCACGUAUUUUCUGUAACGAGUUGGCAGGAAAAGGGGAAGAGGACGAGCCUGAGGCGGAGAAUGGUUUCUCUUUGGCAAGUCUCAGUACUGGCUCUCCUCGACACCGUGAAUCUGUGAAGGAGGAGAGUUUUCAGAAAGAAAGGUCUAUCCCACCGAAGAGCGCUUCUGUUUCUCCUCCUAGAAGAACAUCUGUAUCUCCAACCGAUAGUUCUGUUAAAGAACAAAAAGAAAAGGACCCUUCUGGUAGGGGGAAGUUGGUGAGUUCCAACAGUCUGGGCAGUAAUGGAAACGGUGGUAGUCGAGUAGCCAUAUUUCGUGAUCGAGAGAAAGACCGGAGGGAUCCUGAUUAUGACCGGAACACUGCUAGAUAUUCGCAGCGUUUUGAUCCUGGAUUUGGUGUUAGUUUGGGACCUUAUGGGGGUCAAGCAUUGUAUGCCCCAGUGGUGAAUUAUAACACCGAGUUUCCUCAGUUAGGUGUUCCUCCUAGAGGACAGAUGCACAUGGAGCCCCCACCGCCUCAAUCUCUUGGCCCGCAACACAUUCGAGCACCCUGGGUACCCACUGUUAAUGCUAUAGGUUACCGCGCUUCUGAUUCAAUGAUGGGACCUUACAAUCCCGCCCAAAUGGGACCAAUGACCAUGUACAUGCGUGCUCCCCAGUUUGGCUAUCCUGGGCCCGCUUUGAGCUACAUGCAGCAUCCAGAUCAGUUUCAGCAAUCUCAGCAAACACAUUCGCAGCAGCAGCCUGACACAGGUGUCAACCAGGCCCGGCGCCGUUGAGCGCCGGGCGCAGCCUGCCCCUGCCACCCUCAUGUGCAGCCCCAUCCUGUGGUCAUGAUCUUUGGACUAAGGGUUGGCACAUCUGCAGAUUACAGUAAUAUCUUUAAGGUUGGCAGGGAAGGCGCAGGCAAGCACUAGGGGUAGUAGCUGCAGUUCUGCACUGGGUAGUUUUGGACAUAUAUGCUGGCACAGAGGUAACACAAUUCAUUCAGGAAUUUUCACCUUUGCCAACCACAAGAUGCUGAAGGCCAAGGAAUGUUAAUAUAGUGUAGCUGGCAAGUGUGGCAGGUUGUGGUGCCUGGAAAGCACCAACAAGCAUGUCCUCCUACUUAGAUUACCCUUAGUGCUAGGUGUUAGUAUGUAUAGGAGAGCUGAUACAUGUAAGAUGGAGGCAGUUGGAGAUACGACGGCGCUUGUUAUUAGAGAUUUGACUGGAACAGGUCUCGAAAGACUCCCAGGAAGGCAUCUCAACCUAUUGCCGGUUGCAGCAAGCAAUCUCAAGCAAGCAGUUUGUACUCUGUAGCUCAAUUCGAGGACCCCUUGUGUGCAACACUUCGCUUCUGAAGUCACGAAUUAGACUUUUGAAACAGUUCAGCGUAGGGUUUCGGCGACCCACUCUCUUGCAGUGAUGGAGACUGCCAGUUUGAGAGAGUGUAUCAUCGAAGAUUACUGCUGUCCAAGUCGCUGCGUCUCGAAGUGGCUACUUCAAAACGUGGGAAGAGGAAAGAUCCUUUUUGAAAGUGAUCGUCAGACCUGGACAGAAGUUCGACUUAAUGCGUUUUAAGGCAACGGUGUCAUAGUAAGCAGUGAAAGUAUGCACUCCAUGACUUGAAUUUCAUUUUUUAUAUUUCACCUGCCACGGCCAUCUAGAAUAUGAUUCCUAAGACUAUUUUAGUAGGUUUUCUCUUGUGGUCCGUAGGGUCAGACCUUCCGUGAACCUCGUGUGAGAUCUGUAUCCCCUAUUUUCAGAGUUCACUCUGUCAAGAAAGUGGAAAUGAUUUGUGUUUGUUGCA